Molecule: long non-coding RNA, 1551 nt
Filed under: Ananas comosus (pineapple)
Lineage: Eukaryota; Viridiplantae; Streptophyta; Magnoliopsida; Poales; Bromeliaceae
Description: long non-coding RNA (ACOM_LNC005175)
Source: RNAcentral
UUAUGAGCUUCUUAAGUAUGGCCUUAUUUAGAUAUCGGAAUAAGUUAUCAGAUGAUAACCUAUUCAAUGUCAAAAUUUUUGUAUGAUCGAUUGGAAGAUAGAAAUUUAAUUUUUGCUUUUUAGAAAGUUUUGACAUACAGAUUUGAUAAAAUAGCAUAUUUCUCUUACGAGAUAAUAUAUCUAAUUCCAAAAAAGUAACGUACGCGUGAAGGUUGAAUACACUAUUUCAUUAUAAAUAUUUGAUCACAUUCUUUAUCUUACAAAUAUAGAAUUAUAGGCUUCUGGAGUAAAUCAGAUUAAGUACUUUGAAUAAUAUGUCCAUGCAUCUAAACAUAGUCUAAAUCAAUAAGAAAUACACUGCACUGACAGUAGUCUACCCUUAGGCCCCGUUUGGUUCGGGGGAUAAGCGGGGAUAACAAAAGUUAUUCCCGUUAUUCUGCCAAACAGGGUGAAAUUUAGCUGGAAUAUUUUAUCCUGGUCAAACCUUGCUAUUCCCGGUUAUUCCGGAAUAGCAAGACAUCUGUUAUUCCACAAUUUUGGUGGAAUAGUGUUAUUCCAACACUUAAUUUCAAACUUAAUUAAAAUUAUAAAUUGAAUUAAAAUUAAAUUAUAUAAAUAUAAUAUGUUAUAUAUUAUAAUACAUUAUUCCCGCUCUCAAAAUUAAAGUUUCUUUUAAAUUUUAAAUUUAAAGUUUGAUAUUUUAAAAUUUUAAAAUUUAAAAUUUGAUAUUUUAUAUUUUCCAAAUUUAAAUUUGAUCUUAAAUUUAAAGUUUGAAAUUUUGAAUUUAAAAUUUUGAAUUUAAAAUUUGAGAUUUUAAAUUUAAAAUUUUAAUUUCAAAUUUUAAAAUUUCAAAGUUAAAAUUUUAAAUUUAAAAAUAUAAAUUUUAAAUUUUAAAAAUUUAAAUUCAAAUAUAAUAAGAGGGUAAUAUUAUUAUUUUUUAUUUAUAAAAAUCCACUAUCCUUCUUAUUCUAUCUUAUCUAACCAAAUGCUAUUUUUUUAUUCUCAGGAAUAACCCAAUUUUCAUCCAAACGUAAAAUUAAUCUAAUCCCCGUUUAUAUCUCAAUUUAUACCUAUUCCUGGAAUAGCCACUUUUUGCUUAUCCCCGAACCAAACGAUACCUUAGGGUAUAUUUGGUUCACCUAUUUUAGACUAUGGAAUCGGAAUGGAAUUCAUUGAUUCCGAUAGUUGCCGUUUGUUUUAUAGGAAUCGGAUUCCGAUUCCCAUUCCACUCCGGAAUGGAAAUAGCCAAAUCCAUUUAUGAUCCAAUCUGGCUUUGAAUUUCGGAUUGGCUCAUUUCAAAGUAUACUAUUCAAAAUCCUCUUUCAUCAACACCCACCUCCUCUCCCUUCAUUACUUUCCUCUCUCUUAAUCAAAACCCUCUCUCAAAAAUUUUAAAUUUUCAUUCCGAUUUUCAUUCCAAUAAUGAACCAAACAUUUUUGGAUGAUUCGUCAUUCCAUUUUCCAUUCCAAAGCAAUCCAAUUCCAUUUCUCACUCCUAUUCCAAUCAUGAACCAAACAUGCCCUUAGGAUCACCUCAACAGGAUCGAUCAA